UACGUAGGGUGCGAGCGUUGUCCGGAAUUACUGGGCGUAAAGAGCUCGUAGGCGGUUUGUCGCGUCGUCCGUGAAAACUUGGGGCUCAACCCCAAGCUUGCGGGCGAUACGGGCAGACUUGAGUACUGCAGGGGAGACUGGAAUUCCUGGUGUAGCGGUGAAAUGCGCAGAUAUCAGGAAGAACACCAAUGGCGAAGGCAGCUCUCUGGGACGGUACUGACGCUGAGACGCGAAAGCGUGGGGAGCGAACAGG
Molecule: ribosomal RNA, 253 nt
Filed under: uncultured bacterium
Lineage: Bacteria
Description: partial 16S ribosomal RNA
Rfam family: Bacterial small subunit ribosomal RNA
Source: RNAcentral